This 254-nucleotide ribosomal RNA is filed under the name uncultured bacterium. Its description in RNAcentral is "partial 16S ribosomal RNA". It matches the Rfam family "Bacterial small subunit ribosomal RNA", at positions 524 to 776 of the family's 1533-position model. The record is from RNAcentral.
UACGGAGGGUGCAAGCGUUAUCCGGAUUUACUGGGUUUAAAGGGUGCGUAGGUGGGCCUGUAAGUCAGUGGUGAAAUCUUCGAGCUUAACUCGGAAACUGCCAUUGAUACUAUAGGUCUUGAAUCAUCUGGAGGUGAGCGGAAUAUGUCAUGUAGCGGUGAAAUGCUUAGAUAUGACAUAGAACACCGAUUGCGAAGGCAGCUCACUACGGAUGUAUUGACACUGAGGCACGAAAAGCGUGGGGAUCAAACAGG